CCCCCUUCCUCGAUUCCCUUCUUCCCCGACUCCUCUCCCUCGCAAACCUGUUUCAUCGCCGGUCGCCGAACAUCAACGCCGAUCGCCAGCUGAACCUUCCUCCUCCCCUUUUCCUUCCAUGGUAUGGAGUCUUUCUUCUCUCCUGCCCUCUCUAUUUUUCUCUCUCGCGUGGAUGCCCGACGUCGACGAAGAACGACCUCCUCUACUGCGAUUGUGUCCUCGCCGAGUCGCCUGAGAAAGUAUCGCUGAAUCUCGAUGGUCACAGCGGGGCUAGGGCAAACUCUGCAACUCGCUGGCGGAUAUGAGUAGAGCUGUGACGAUUCCAUCAGACCUUCUGUUGUAGCUACCUUGUCUCAUCUUGGAGGUGUUUGAUGAAAUGCCUUUAGUGUCCUCUCUCCUCUGUCUGUGCCGGACUAGUUGUGAAUUGGUGGGGAAGCUCUAUUUUCCUCCACAGCAACUUUGGAUUUCUUCAUCAAAGGGGGUGGCUGCAGUUUUGGAUCGAGUGCUCUUCCUGAUCUGGAAUGGAGGAUGCAUCGGAUCAAAAUAGGGGUGGAUUUCUCUUGAGCCGAUCACAACCUUCUACACUUCUUGCGGCUGUUAGAGUCUCGGAUGAAGAGGUGGAGGUUGGUUGAGGUGAGAAAGGUUCUAUUUGUUAAGGAUUUCAGUAAGUCUUUGCUGUACAUGUUGAAAUCUGGACUGAUUCUCGGAAGAAGUGGUUGUGGGUAUUCUUUGUAGCUUCUCGACAGUGAGUUGUAGGGUUGUUGAGCUACUGGAAUUGCUGACAUAAUUCAAGGUAGAUGGUUGGAGUGUUGCUCGAAGUAUCCUGUCUGUCGGGUCCUACGUCACA
Zingiber officinale is the source of this 847-nucleotide long non-coding RNA. RefSeq lists it as uncharacterized. The record is from RefSeq and is a predicted model, not a curated record. Lineage: Eukaryota; Viridiplantae; Streptophyta; Magnoliopsida; Zingiberales; Zingiberaceae. The transcript is spliced from 5 exons.